UACAGAGGGGGCAAGCGUUGUUCGGAAUUACUGGGCGUAAAGGGCGCGUAGGCGGCCUGUUAAGUCGAACGUGAAAUCCCCGGGCUCAACCCGGGAACUGCGUCCGAUACUGGUAGGCUUGAAUCCGGGAGAGGGAUGCGGAAUUCCAGGUGUAGCGGUGAAAUGCGUAGAUAUCUGGAGGACCACCGGUGGCGAAGGCGGCAUCCUGGACCGGCAUUGACGCUGAGGCGCGAAAGCCAGGGGAGCAAACGGG
Molecule: ribosomal RNA, 253 nt
Filed under: uncultured bacterium
Lineage: Bacteria
Description: partial 16S ribosomal RNA
Rfam family: Bacterial small subunit ribosomal RNA
Source: RNAcentral